This 497-nucleotide ribosomal RNA is filed under the name uncultured bacterium. RNAcentral's name for it is "partial 16S ribosomal RNA". It matches the Rfam family "Bacterial small subunit ribosomal RNA", at positions 28 to 507 of the family's 1533-position model. The record is from RNAcentral.
GAUGAACGCUGGCGGCGUGCCUAAUACAUGCAAGUCGAGCGAACAGACGAUGAGCUUGCUCCUCUGACGUUAGCGGCGGACGGGUGAGUAACACGUGGAUAACCUACCUAUAAGACUGGGAUAACUUCGGGAAACCGGAGCUAAUACCGGAUAAUAUAUUGAACCGCAUGGUUCAAUAGUGAAAGACGGUUUUGCUGUCACUUAUAGAUGGAUCCGCGCCGCAUUAGCUAGUUGGUAAGGUAACGGCUUACCAAGGCAACGAUGCGUAGCCGACCUGAGAGGGUGAUCGGCCACACUGGAACUGAGACACGGUCCAGACUCCUACGGGAGGCAGCAGUAGGGAAUCUUCCGCAAUGGGCGAAAGCUUGACGCAGCAACGCCGCGUGAGUGAUGAAGGUCUUCGGAUCGUAAAACUCUGUUAUUAGGGAAGAACAAAUGUGUAAGUAACUAUGCACGUCUUGACGGUACCUAAUCAGAAAGCCACGGCUAACUACGUG